This 74-nucleotide transfer RNA is filed under the name Hyphomicrobiaceae bacterium. Its description in RNAcentral is "tRNA-Gly". It matches the Rfam family "tRNA". From Rfam's summary of the family: Transfer RNA (tRNA) molecules are approximately 80 nucleotides in length. Their secondary structure includes four short double-helical elements and three loops (D, anti-codon, and T loops). Further hydrogen bonds mediate the characteristic L-shaped molecular structure. tRNAs have two regions of fundamental functional importance: the anti-codon, which is responsible for specific mRNA codon recognition, and the 3' end, to which the tRNAs corresponding amino acid is attached (by aminoacyl-tRNA synthetases). tRNAs cope with the degeneracy of the genetic code in two manners: having more than one tRNA (with a specific anti-codon) for a particular amino acid; and 'wobble' base-pairing, i.e. permitting non-standard base-pairing at the 3rd anti-codon position. Lineage: Bacteria; Pseudomonadati; Pseudomonadota; Alphaproteobacteria; Hyphomicrobiales; Hyphomicrobiaceae. The record is from RNAcentral.
GCUUCCUUCGUCCAAUGGCAGGAUCACAGCCUUCCAAGCUGAGAAUCUCGGUUCGAGUCCGAGAGGAAGCUCCA